RNAcentral lists this long non-coding RNA (1153 nucleotides) under Homo sapiens (human). RNAcentral's name for it is "MIR4300 host gene". Lineage: Eukaryota; Metazoa; Chordata; Mammalia; Primates; Hominidae. The record is from RNAcentral.
GCGCGCAGCCUCGGUUCCCGCCCGUGCCUCUCCCUCCACACCUCCCCGCAACUGAGGGAGCCGGCUCCGGCCUCGGCCAGCCCAGAAAGGGGCUCACACAGUGCAGGGCCGGGCUGAAGGGCUCCUUAAGGGCGGCCAGAGUUGGCGCCAAGGCUGAGGAGGUGCCCAGAGCGAGCGAGGGCUGCCAGGGCUGCUAGCAGGCUGUCACCUCUCAAUAGCAGUUUUGUAUAUGGGAUCUAGCCCCUCCCUAAGAGGUUGAUUCUAAGGAAGCCAACAGCCGUGUUGUGAGUACCCAAUGGAAAGUCUGUUGUGGCAGAAAACUGAUGUCUCCAGCCAACAGCACUGAGGCCCUGAGACCUGCCAACUGUCAUGUUACAUCUCAAGGAGAAGGAUUGCCAGAUCAAAAGUCUUGCAGUUAACCAGGCGUGGUGGCAGAUACCUGUAAUCCCAGCUAUUCGGGAGGCUGAGGCAGGAGAAUCGCUUGUACCCGGGAGGCAGAGGUUGCAGUGAGCUGAGACCGCGCCAUUGACUCCUGCCUGAUGACAAGAGAGAAUCUACGUCUCAACAACAACAACACGCUUGGGCACUGUAUUAACUCCAUAAUCGCCUCUGUGCUCUUUCCCCUGUGGACAAUAACUACCAUUUCAUCCUGGACACCCAUUGUUUGCCUGGACCACACCUUGUUAUGACCAUAACCCUCAGUCAGACUCAACCUUCCUUCAAGAUCUGCAGAUCUAAAUUUUAUUGGGAACAGCUAGUUUGACAAGCAUAGACCAGAUGUCCAGUUGUCAUUCAUUCAGCAGGAGCAGCAAGAUUCAAUCAUGUUUUUAUUAUAUUAUUUCCUGAAACUUGUGGCUGUAACAAUGAAGUUUGAGGAUUGGUCUGUGUAAGUAUGGCAGAAGUGAUGUUAAGUCGCUUAUGAGAUUAGGGUAUAAAAGACUAAGGCUUCCAUGCUUCCAUCUUGGUCUCUGUCUCUCAGAGAACAGUCAUGUGAAUGAUUCUUCUUGAAAGUAAAUCUUCCAGCCCCAGUCCAGUAUUCAAAUGAUCCAGCAACAUUGCAACUUAUGAGAGACCUUGAGCCAUCCAGGUAACAUGCUUCCAAAUCCUGACCCUUAAAACCUGUAAAAUAAUAAAUGUGGUUUUAAACUCUUAA